GCAUAUCAAUAAGCGGAGGAAAAGAAACCAACAGGGAUUGCCUUAGUAACGGCGAGUGAAGCGGCAAAAGCUCAAAUUUGAAAUCUAGCACUUUCAGUGUUCGAGUUGUAAUUUGAAGAAGGUAACUUUGGAAUUGGCUCUUGUCUAUGUUCCUUGGAACAGGACGUCACAGAGGGUGAGAAUCCCGUGCGAUGAGAUGUCCAAUUCUAUGUAAAGUGCUUUCGAAGAGUCGAGUUGUUUGGGAAUGCAGCUCUAAGUGGGUGGUAAAUUCCAUCUAAAGCUAAAUAUUGGCGAGAGACCGAUAGCGAACAAGUACAGUGAUGGAAAGAUGAAAAGAACUUUGAAAAGAGAGUGAAAAAGUACGUGAAAUUGUUGAAAGGGAAGGGCUUGAGAUCAGACUUGGUAUUUUGUGUUCCUUAUCCUUCUUGGAUUAGGUUCCUCACAGCUUACCGGGCCAGCAUCGGUUUGGAUGGCAGGAUAAUGACAUUGGAAUGUAGCUUUGCUUCGGUGAAGUGUUAUAGACUUUGUUGAUACUGCCUAUCUAGACCGAGGACUGCGUCUUUGACUAGGAUGCUGGCGUAAUGAUCUUAAGCCGCCCGUCUUGAAACACGGACCAAGGAGUCUAACGUCUAUGCAAGUGUUUGGGUGUAAAACCCGUACGCGUAAUGAAAGUGAACGUAGGUGAGAGCCCUUUGGGUGCAUCAUCGACCGAUCCUGAUGUCUUCGGAUGGAUUUGAGUAAGAGCAUAGCUGUUGGGACCCGAAAGAUGGUGAACUAUGCCUGAAUAGGGUGAAGCCAGAGGAAACUCUGGUGGAGGCUCGUAGCGGUUCUGACGUGCAAAUCGAUCGUCGAAUUUGGGUAUAGGGGCGAAAGACUAAUCGAACCAUCUAGUAGCUGGUUCCUGCG
RNAcentral lists this ribosomal RNA (906 nucleotides) under Dujonia railenensis. Its description in RNAcentral is "LSU rRNA". It matches the Rfam family "Eukaryotic large subunit ribosomal RNA", at positions 38 to 962 of the family's 3401-position model. Lineage: Eukaryota; Fungi; Ascomycota; Pichiomycetes; Serinales; Debaryomycetaceae. The record is from RNAcentral.